GACGAGCCUCACAAACGUUAUUCGGAAUUACUGGGCUUAAAGGGUGCGUAGGCGGUGCGGAAAGUUGGGUGUGAAAUCCCUCGGCUUAACCGAGGAAUUGCGCUCAAUACUACCGUGCUCGAGGGAGAUAGAGGAAUGCGGAACUUACGGUGGAGCGGUGAAAUGCGUUGAUAUCGUAGGGAACACCGGUGGCGAAAGCGGCAUUCUGGAUCUCUUCUGACGCUGAGGCACGAAAGCUAGGGUAGCAAACGGG
Molecule: ribosomal RNA, 253 nt
Filed under: uncultured bacterium
Lineage: Bacteria
Description: partial 16S ribosomal RNA
Rfam family: Bacterial small subunit ribosomal RNA
Source: RNAcentral